GACGAACGCUGGCGGCAUGCCUAACACAUGCAAGUCGAACGGAGAUUAUUUCGGUAAUCUUAGUGGCGAACGGGUGAGUAACGCGUGGGCAACCUGCCCUCUAGAUGGGGACAACAUCCCGAAAGGGGUGCUAAUACCGAAUGUGACAGCAAUCUCGCAUGAGGAUGCUGUGAAAGAUGGCCUCUAUUUAUAAGCUAUCGCUAGAGGAUGGGCCUGCGUCUGAUUAGCUAGUUGGUGGGGUAACGGCCUACCAAGGCGAUGAUCAGUAGCCGGUCUGAGAGGAUGAACGGCCACAUUGGGACUGAGACACGGCCCAGACUCCUACGGGAGGCAGCAGUGGGGAAUCUUCCGCAAUGGGCGAAAGCCUGACGGAGCAAUGCCGCGUGAGUGAUGAAGGAAGUCGUUCCGUAAAGCUCUUUUGUUUAUGACGAAUGUGCAGAUUGUGAACAAUGAUCUGUAAUGACGGUAGUAAACGAAUAAGCCACGGCUAACUACGUG
Molecule: ribosomal RNA, 498 nt
Filed under: uncultured bacterium
Lineage: Bacteria
Description: partial 16S ribosomal RNA
Rfam family: Bacterial small subunit ribosomal RNA
Source: RNAcentral